Molecule: ribosomal RNA, 459 nt
Filed under: uncultured bacterium
Lineage: Bacteria
Description: partial 16S ribosomal RNA
Rfam family: Bacterial small subunit ribosomal RNA
Source: RNAcentral
CCUACGGGAGGCAGCAGUGAGGAAUAUUGGUCAAUGGGCGCGAGCCUGAACCAGCCAAGUCGCGUGAGGGAAGACGGUCCUAUGGAUUGUAAACCUCUUUUGUCGGGGAGCAAAAGACGCCACGCGUGGCGUUCCGAGAGUACCCGAAGAAAAAGCAUCGGCUAACUCCGUGCCAGCAGCCGCGGUAAUACGGAGGAUGCGAGCGUUAUCCGGAUUUAUUGGGUUUAAAGGGUGCGUAGGCGGAGUGUCAAGUCAGCGGUAAAAUUUCGGGGCUCAACCCCGUCGUGCCGUUGAAACUGACACCCGUGAGUGAGUGAGAAGUAAGCGGAAUGCGUGGUGUAGCGGUGAAAUGCAUAGAUAUCACGCAGAACGCCGAUUGCGAAGGCAGCUUACCCGCGCUCAACUGACGCUGAGGCACGAAAGUGCGGGUAUCGAACAGGAUUAGAUACCCCUGUAGUC